AUUUAUUGUUAUUUUUUGUAUAUAUUUUUUUCCAUUUUAGGAUAAUAUUUUGAUUUAACUGUAAACUCAAACGUACAACAUGAAGGCAACAAUCUUGUUAGCAGUUCUAGUGGCAGUCUUUGUCGCAGGUAAAUAUGAUAUUCAAUAGGCACUGCCAAUGACUAUUGAGAUUUUCCAUGAGGGAAUGAACUUUUAACUUAAAAAAAGGGGAGGGUAGUUAUGUUUUUUCUUUAAAAAAAUGUUCCGAUACCAAAUUUGAUGAAAAAAACCCAUAAAAAACAUAAAGCAAAAAAAAAAAAAAUCUGAAUGCAGAUUUCCCCAAUACCUUAUAGCAUAAAAUUUUGAAAAAAUCAUUUGAUUGAGAGCGUCGAAAUUAAAAAAAAAAUGUUCGCACCUUGCGAGAAAAUAUUUGUGAUAAAAUAACCUCAACCUCCUUCCAAACCCCACCCUUGAAGAUGAUUUGUUGAUCCCUUAAAAUGUAUCAAAAAUAGAAUAAUGUGUUUGUAAAAUUGUUUCUUUAUUUUAUUUUUUUUAAAUAACACGUGGUUUGCUUGAUGUAAGUACUUAAUUGCCAAAAAUGUAUCAUGUUAUUGCCACAUUACGAUUACUUUUGCAGUAAAAAUAUAGAUAUUUAAACAUAAGAAUCAAAUAAUGUUGCAUUUCACUCAAUGAAGUGAAAAACCUUUGUAUUAAUUUGAAAGUUUGCAAGUAUUUUGACAUUUCAACCGACUGAUUUGUUGAAAAAUUGCAAACCACACAAUGUUUUUUUGUUACUUUUAUUUAAUUUACUCUAUCUAAAUCAGUUAUUUUUUUUAAUGUAUCAUGUUUUUAAUAAAGUUUACGGAAACGCCUAUAUUUGCUGUAAAAAAUACCAUGAUUUAAUGUAAUCUUCAAAGAAAUGAAUUACAAAUUAAUCGGUCUUAACUUUGUUUUUUAUACCUUGAAGGUACGGAAGCUCAUUCGCACGCUUGUACAUCAUACUGGUGUGGUAAGUUUUGUGGAACUGCUAGUUGCACACAUUAUUUAUGCAGAGUACUCCAUCCCGGUAAACUGUGUGUGUAUGUGUUCAUUGCAGCAGGGUGAACAAUCCUUUCAGAGUUAAUCAAGUUGCUAAAAGUAUUAACGAUUUGGAUUACACUCCAAUGUAAGUACAUUAUUCCCGAUUAUUUUGCAUUAUAUUAACUUUUAUAAAUUUACGAAAUGAAAUUAAUCAAUAGACCAAGUAUGUAAGUAUGAUAAUCAUACAUUUAAAGAAUGACUGUAAUAUUUUUUUCUGUCUAUGAAGAAAUAACAUAAAAAAAUUCGUGCAUACUGAAUAACGCGCGUAGCGGGUUUAUUCAACAGUGUGCACCACAUUUUUUUAUGUUAUUUCGAAUAGACAGAAAAAAAUAUUACAGUCAUUUCUUAUAAUUUAAUUCUAAAAUCCAUUUUAAACCAUAGAAAGCCAUGAAAAAACGUUGAUGACGUCACGGUCACAUGACUAAAUUAUGUCUAUGGGCUGAUAACAAAAUAACGUUAGCAAAUCAGAAGACGCGUUACAUCCAAAAUUAAAUUAUUGUUAUAUGCACAUCAUGCAUACCAAUAAUUAAACAUAAAAUAUUAAUUUCUAUUUUACCAUGUGAAAGUGUACGAUUGGUUAAUUUGGUUAUGCCAUUAUAUACAUGUUCAGGAUAAUAUGGGAAAUAAGACCAUACACGUAUAAUCAAGGCCAUAUGAAUAUAUACUCUUAUAAUAGUAAAUUAAAUACACAGUUCUAAUUUUAAAAUGGCAAAAACAGUUCGACCGUUUGAACUCCGUAGGUGUGUGUAGUUUGUGUGAUCCUCUUUGUUAUAAGAGAGAAUGAGGAUACAUUGUGUGUCAUCUUGACUACUUCAUUCAUCUUAAAUGACAACAUUUUACUUAUCAAUCAACUAUUGGUUUUUUGUACGAGCAUAUUUAGAGAUAAGAGUUAUAGUUUUUGAAAUGAUGUAAUUAAAUUGCAAAUAUAUUUUAAUGUUAACUUUAUGAGAAAAAACCCUUUAAUCUUUCAGAAUGAAGUCGAUGGAAAACUUGGACAAUGGAAUGGAUAUGUUAUAAGCAAACAACUUAUGCAAUGCAGAUCACAACUGUGAACCUUUGCUAUCAUUCUCACUGCUUUUCACCUUUCUACAAACAAAAAGUUUACAGCAACUUGAAAAAUAACAAACUUGAGUCAUGUCUGUUCAGUUUCCAGUCUAAUAUUUAUAUCAUUAUAUGAAAGGUAUAACAAAAUUAGUACCAUUGUGUGCUAAUAGAAAACAAUUGAUAAACAAGAAACAUUACACUUUAAGUAUAAAUUAACAGGAUUUUGUCCUGCAGCUGUUUUAUCUUUCUUUUCUCAGCUAUAGUCUUCUGAUUGUAAUAAAAUAGCUUGAAAAACAAACUAGCGUUGAGAAUUUUUUUUAAAUAACAGGGAAAUAAACCAAACCUUUAAGAUGUACUGCAUUCAAACAAGCUGCUGAUCUUCUUAUAUUUGAAUAGACUAAAGGAACAAUGAAAUAGGAUCAGAAAAAAUGAGAUUAAUGACGACGAAAAAACACUUCUCCAAGCGAAAAAAGUUCACUUGAUGAUAUGACUGUUGAACUAUGGGAUACAUGCAUACGCCAGUACAAGACACUUAUGGAAAGUCAAGGUCGUUAAACACCCCUAUUGUUGUAUGUUAAAAGUUCAACGUUCACAAUUAUCAAAGCCGUAGCAUAUUGACAAAAAGCA
RNAcentral lists this long non-coding RNA (2730 nucleotides) under Mytilus galloprovincialis (Mediterranean mussel). Lineage: Eukaryota; Metazoa; Mollusca; Bivalvia; Mytilida; Mytilidae. The record is from RNAcentral.